RNAcentral lists this ribosomal RNA (599 nucleotides) under Pomacentrus trilineatus (threeline damsel). Its description in RNAcentral is "partial 16S ribosomal RNA". It matches the Rfam family "Bacterial large subunit ribosomal RNA", at positions 1808 to 2608 of the family's 2925-position model. The record is from RNAcentral. Lineage: Eukaryota; Metazoa; Chordata; Actinopteri; Pomacentridae.
CAAAAACAUCGCCUCUUGAAGUAACAAUAUAAGAGGUCCUGCCUGCCCAGUGACUGUUUGUUCAACGGCCGCGGUACUUUGACCGUGCGAAGGUAGCGCAAUCACUUGUCUUUUAAAUGAAGACCUGUAUGAAUGGCUAAACGAGGGCUUAACUGUCUCCUUUUUCCAGUCAAUGAAAUUGAUCUUCCCGUGCAGAAGCGGGAAUAACAACAUAAGACGAGAAGACCCUGUGGAGCUUUAGACACUAAAUCAGCCAUUGUCCAUAACCCCUAUUAAGGGGCUGAACGAUAGAAUGAGACCUGAUCUGAUGUCUUCGGUUGGGGCGACCUCGGGGAAAGGAAGAACCCCCGCGCGGAACAGGAGUACUACUCCCAAAACUGAGAGCCACCACUCAAGGUACCAGAAAUUUUGACCAACAAUAUGAUCCAGCUUAACGCCGAUCAACGGACUAAGUUACCCCAGGGAUAACAGCGCAAUCCUCUUCGAGAGCCCAUAUCGACAAGAGGGUUUACGACCUCGAUGUUGGAUCAGGACAUCCUAAUGGUGCAGCCGCUAUUAAGGGUUCGUUUGUUCAACGAUUAAAGUCCUACGUGAUCUGA